Molecule: long non-coding RNA, 619 nt
Organism: Lathyrus oleraceus (garden pea)
Lineage: Eukaryota; Viridiplantae; Streptophyta; Magnoliopsida; Fabales; Fabaceae
Exons: 2
Source: RefSeq, a predicted model, not a curated record
ACAAAAGAAUUAAAGAGAAGAAGAAAAAAACAAGAGAAAUUAGCACAAUUCUGCAGAAAGGUGUGAACCAUAAUCAUGGAGUGUUAAGCCAAGUGUGGCGUUGGGCCUGACAGUAAAAGCCCUCAAUGAAGUCUACAUGUUGGUAUAAAAAUCGAGCAAACAAAGGAGGCAUUGGAGGAUGUCACCAACAUGCAAGACCGAUAUUUGUCUUCGGAGAUGUUGAAGAAUCCAAAAUUGAAGAUGGAAAUGGCAAUACCAGGGGAAAAUACUCCAGGUCUGGUGUGGUAGGAUGAACAAGACUUGGCAUUGAUCAAAAUGGCAUGGCACACAAUGUUCACGAGUCAAGAUUCCUUCAUGGAGAAAUUUAAAGACUUGGUUACUUGGAGAAACACAAAGAUAUGAGAUGGCUUGUAAAUGAAGAAAAGUGGUAUUAGGGUUUAGGAUUAGUGGUUGACUUUGGUCAAAUGUUUAACCAAAACGUCAAUAGUUGACCAAAAUAUCAAUAGUUGAUCAAAAGUCAACUCUAGGUCAAAACAUGUAAUUUUUUGUAAUUUUCAUGAUUUGGACUUUGUAAUAUGAUUUGAUAUUUUGUAAUGAAAAUGGCUUCUUUGAAUUUAAA